Molecule: long non-coding RNA, 916 nt
Organism: Archocentrus centrarchus (flier cichlid)
Lineage: Eukaryota; Metazoa; Chordata; Actinopteri; Cichliformes; Cichlidae
Exons: 5
Source: RefSeq, a predicted model, not a curated record
UGGAUUUCUUUGGACUAGAAGCUUUACAUACAGAAAGACAGAGAGAAAACUAAGGAUAAAGCUAUUUGACCGAUAUUUUAGCAGUUUCUCUCAGCAGGUGUCGACUUGGUGUUUUUUGGUUUGGUUUUAUUUAUUGUUGUCGUAUACACGGGAGCAGCAGCGUAGUUCCUCCCCCCUAAGGAACGAGCUAACAUGGGCUUUCUUUGCUACUGAGAGGGUUUUUUGUGAGGUUUCUCCUACAGCAUGGCAAACUACAGGGCUGUGAAAUACAGUGAUCCAGAAUUCACUGAUGAGGAGGAGGAUGAACCGAAGAAGAAAAGAAGGUGGAUGAGAUGGAGAAGGAAGAGCAGGAGCAGCGGGAGGAGGAGCAGGAUGAGUAUUGUCAGAGACUCCGCAGGGGGUCUGCUGAGGGAUAACCUGUCUGCCUGCCUGCCUGCCUGCCUGCCUGCCUGCCUGUCUGCCUGCCUGCCCGCCUGCCUGCCUGCCUGUCUGCCUUCUGCAGGAGAAGCAGACUGUUGGUGUUUUAUGCUCUAUCUGAUGUUCCUCACUGCAUGAAGAGGAGGAACAAGGACAGAGAAAGAUGAAGUCCUCCAGAAGGAUGUGGAAGUGGAGAAGAACAGGGGGAAAGGGACGAGCACAACCAGUGUCAUCCUCCCUCUCCCUCUAAAUGAGCCAGCACUUUUUAAACGGGGGUCCAUCUGUCCGGCUGUAAACUCUUCCUCCUCCUCCUCCUCCUCCUCCUGCAGUGGUUGGCCAAGCUAGCUGGACCUUGAGCUGAUCUCUGUGCUCCACAAAGAAGUCCACCAGCGUUCUUGUCACUGUGGCAGACGUGUGGAAGAAAAACGCUGGGAUCCACAGAAUGACGCCAUCCAGCUUCUUCAGGCUCAGGAAGAAGUUGUUUCUGUCCUGCACAGUC